AUUCCAGCUCCAAUAGCGUAUAUUAAAGUUGUUGCAGUUAAAACGCUCGUAGUCGGAUUUCGGGGCGGCUUCGUCGGUCUGCCGAUGGGUAUGCACUGACGCGGGCGUCCUUCCUUCCGGAGACGCGUCCUACUCUUAGCUGAGCGGGGCGUGGAGACGGAUCGUUUACUUUGAAAAAAUCAGAGUGUUUCAAGCAGGCAUCAUCGCUCUUGCAUGGAUUAGCAUGGGAUAAUGAAAUAGGACCUUGGCGCUAUUUUGUUGGUUUCGAGCACCGAAGUAAUGAUUAAUAGGGAUAGUUGGGGGCGUUUAUAUUCCGUUGUCAGAGGUGAAAUUCUUGGAUUUACGGAAGAUAAACUACUGCGAAAGCAUUCGCCAAGGAUGUUUUCAUUA
This 390-nucleotide ribosomal RNA is filed under the name Dicrateria sp. RNAcentral's name for it is "partial small subunit ribosomal RNA". It matches the Rfam family "Eukaryotic small subunit ribosomal RNA", at positions 582 to 975 of the family's 1831-position model. The record is from RNAcentral. Lineage: Eukaryota; Haptophyta; Isochrysidales; Isochrysidaceae.